GAUGAACGCUGGCGGCGUGCCUAAUACAUGCAAGUCGAGCGAACGGACGAGAAGCUUGCUUCUCUGAUGUUAGCGGCGGACGGGUGAGUAACACGUGGAUAACCUACUUAUAAGACUGGGAUAACUUCGGGAAACCGGAGCUAAUACUGGAUAAUAUUUUGAACCGCAUGGUUCAAAAGUGAAAGACGGUCUUGCUGUCACUUAUAGAUGGAUCCGCGCUGCAUUAGCUAGUUGGUAAGGUAACGGCUUACCAAGGCGACGAUGCAUAGCCGACCUGAGAGGGUGAUCGGCCACACUGGAACUGAGACACGGUCCAGACUCCUACGGGAGGCAGCAGUAGGGAAUCUUCCGCAAAGGGCGAAAGCCUGACGGAGCAACGCCGCGUGAGUGAUGAAGGUCUUCGGAUCGUAAAACUCUGUUAUUAGGGAAGAACAUAUGUGUAAGUAACUGUGCACAUCUUGACGGUACCUAAUCAGAAAGCCACGGCUAACUACGUG
This 497-nucleotide ribosomal RNA is filed under the name uncultured bacterium. RNAcentral describes it as "partial 16S ribosomal RNA". It matches the Rfam family "Bacterial small subunit ribosomal RNA", at positions 28 to 507 of the family's 1533-position model. The record is from RNAcentral.